UACGGAGGGGGCUAGCGUUGUUCGGAAUUACUGGGCGUAAAGCGCACGUAGGCGGCUUUGUAAGUUAGAGGUGAAAGCCUGGGGCUCAACUCCAGAAUUGCCUUUAAGACUGCAUCGCUUGAACGUCGGAGAGGUGAGUGGAAUUCCGAGUGUAGAGGUGAAAUUCGUAGAUAUUCGGAAGAACACCAGUGGCGAAGGCGGCUCACUGGACGACUGUUGACGCUGAGGUGCGAAAGCGUGGGGAGCGAACAGG
RNAcentral lists this ribosomal RNA (253 nucleotides) under uncultured bacterium. RNAcentral's name for it is "partial 16S ribosomal RNA". It matches the Rfam family "Bacterial small subunit ribosomal RNA", at positions 524 to 776 of the family's 1533-position model. The record is from RNAcentral.